This 75-nucleotide transfer RNA is filed under the name Methylomonas sp. RNAcentral describes it as "tRNA-Gly". It matches the Rfam family "tRNA". Rfam says of the family: Transfer RNA (tRNA) molecules are approximately 80 nucleotides in length. Lineage: Bacteria; Pseudomonadati; Pseudomonadota; Gammaproteobacteria; Methylococcales; Methylococcaceae. The record is from RNAcentral. RNAcentral also lists the same sequence under 383 other names.
GCGGGAAUAGCUCAGUGGUAGAGCACAACCUUGCCAAGGUUGGGGUCGCGAGUUCGAAUCUCGUUUCCCGCUCCA